Paramuricea clavata is the source of this 311-nucleotide non-coding RNA. The record is from the annotation of a GenBank genome assembly. Lineage: Eukaryota; Metazoa; Cnidaria; Anthozoa; Malacalcyonacea; Plexauridae.
CUUUUGGUACAACUGGCCUAAAACUUAAAAUAUUUUUUCAAUAAGUUAAAUAUCAAUAUAUUUAUUGAAAAAUAGCUAAUAUGUCAAAAUAAGAAAACUUAAAAUUCUCACGCGAAUAGGCAAUGUUUUUAUGAGCGACUGUUCAUCGUUAGUUGCAAACGACGGUAAUAUAAACAAUUAAAUCAAACAUGGUCAAGGUCGAAAGCGUUUAAAACUCUUUGUCGACAAGUGGUUUCGCAUUACAUUACGAUUCAAUUUUUCUAAUGUAAAUAUCGCGGCGAGUAUUUACCCCCCUUUAAAACAAAACCCAC